GACGAACGCUGGCGGCGUGCCUAAUACAUGCAAGUCGAACGCAUUUUCUUUCACCGUAGCUUGCUACACCGAAAGAAAAUGAGUGGCGAACGGGUGAGUAACACGUGGGUAACCUGCCCAUCAGCGGGGGAUAACACUUGGAAACAGGUGCUAAUACCGCAUAAUUCCAUUUACCGCAUGGUAAAUGGAUGAAAGGCGCUUUUGCGUCACUGAUGGAUGGACCCGCGGUGCAUUAGCUAGUUGGUGGGGUAACGGCCUACCAAGGCUGCGACGCAUAGCCGACCUGAGAGGGUGAUCGGCCACACUGGGACUGAGACACGGCCCAGACUCCUACGGGAGGCAGCAGUAGGGAAUCUUCGGCAAUGGACGCAAGUCUGACCGAGCAACGCCGCGUGAGUGAAGAAGGUUUUCGGAUCGUAAAACUCUGUUGUUAGAGAAGAACAAGGAUGAGAGUGGAAAGUUCAUCCCUUGACGGUAUCUAACCAGAAAGCCACGGCUAACUACGUG
RNAcentral lists this ribosomal RNA (507 nucleotides) under uncultured bacterium. RNAcentral's name for it is "partial 16S ribosomal RNA". It matches the Rfam family "Bacterial small subunit ribosomal RNA", at positions 28 to 507 of the family's 1533-position model. The record is from RNAcentral.